GAGUAAAGGAUAAUAUCAUGGUUAUAACUGGAUACAACGAGCAGUCAAUGCACUUAACAGUACACCAUUUCUCGAAAUAUUGGUGUACUAAAAAAAGUAAUUCUUUUUUAACAUUCCUGAACCUUUGUCCCGGUAUUGAAUAACACCACGCUCUCUGCCUGUAGGCACCUUUUAACUGAUGAAAUUAUCUCUUUGAAAUUUCCCUAGGAAUAAAUCCAAAGCUAUAUUUAUAAUUACCAUCCCUCAUGGAAAUUUUGUUUAGCAGAUUAUACGAGAAACGAUUGAACUGGCCUCCAGGAUACCAAUUUACUAUUUUAGAAACUACUUUGUUUGGUGUUUUGUAAGGAGUAUUUACAGCAGAAACAGAUAUUUAGAGAUAGUGAAGCUAAAAAGUGCCUGAUCAUCAAUAACUAUUGAGAAAGAAGUACACUUAAAAGUGGUAACCUGCUGGUUAUGUAUAAUCAUUAUGUAUAUGUUAUUCGCGUGAGUAUCAUUGGAUGUGUAAAACUCGCGGCACUCGAUCGCACGAAGUAUAUGGAAAAAGGAAAUAAAAAAGAUAACAGAGAUUCAUAAGUGGAAACCGAGAAUAGCUCAUACAUGCAACGUAAGAUAUAACAUCCUUGAAGAUAUACACCCUCGUACGAUAUGUUUUCCAUUUAUCAUUUCUAAACGAAAACUGUUGUAAGAAAUGCCUAGCAAUUGUCAAAUUAAUUAAUUAACCCAGUGAGAGACGAGUUUCAUAGAUUCCACUUAUCUCUGCACUUCGAACUUCUCGAGACCUACCCAGUGAGUUACAAAGACACACAUAUAUAACAAUGAUCUUUAUUACAUGAAGUAAUAAUAGAGUAUCUUCUGUAUAGCGUCACGAAAUGGUGAAAGUCUAGGACAAUGAGUGAGUAGAAUAAAUCCGAGAUUAGAGUUUAGAAAGUUCCGUAGAGACUCAAUCUCAAUAUAGUAGAGUACUGCUCAUCUAGUUGUAUGCAUCCCAAUAGAGUACCGCGUGUUUAGUUGAGUAUAUAGAACACCGCGACGUUCAGUAACAAAGUAGUCUACAGUAGAAUAAUCAAUGACUGGCACAGUACCAGCUAGUAGUUAACUUCGUUUUGGAGUGCAUCAAAUCUGUCACUUUUUUAAUAAUGUAUGAUACUUUUUGGUGAGUAGAAUUUAAAAAUUAUUACGAGUUAUUCAUAUAGAGUUCCGUUUUCGAGAAAAACUGAGAUUGUAUAUCUGUUAAGUUUGCGUGUAUUCCACUAACCGUAGUCUAGAAUUACUUUACCCAGUUACUAGCUAGCUACGGUUACCUCCAUUUGUGUCUACAAACAAUAUCAAUCAGGAUAUAUAUCUCUCAAAACAAUGAUAUCCGCGUCUUAGAACUGAGAAUUUUUAAUUCUACUCGCUAAAAGCUUAUCAUAUGUUGUGAAAAAGGAUUACAAAUUCGGUAUGUCCCAAAACGUUCAGCCAAAUAUUCUAUAUUAGAGUUCAUGUACAUUAGUGUCUUAAGGCCAUCGAAGAGUAACCUCAAUUACAGUGCUGUCCACCAGUAGCAGGACUUCUAAUAUACCUUCAAAUGAUUUAUAUUUAUAUAACAUCCUUUGUUUGAUUAUAUCCAUAGAGAGUACUGACAAGGUUUGGCUGUUAAACCUGGGGAUGCCUCAGAUAUGUCUAUGUAUAACAAAUUCCUCUAUCAUUAUAAUAUAUAAUUUUUAUAAGAUAUAAUUUUUCAAACUUUUUCAACUUGCGAAUAAAGUUUUGACACCGUUACUUUAAUUUAGUGCUCACACUCUGAAACAAAGGUAUUUCUCUCCUUCCUGGGGAAUUUUACACCGCAAGCGGCUCAGUUACGUGUUACGCCAUAAAGGUGGGGGGUGACUACUCGAAAAUGACCUUGAAGAACCAACAUUUGAGAACUCUAGGAUAGAAUUAAUUAGACGUAUCUUAGCGAUACGUUUAAUAACUGAUCUGCUGUGUAGGAUUCCAUCGACUGCUUUUUUCUUCUUUUUAUUGUAUCACAAAGUGCAAAAGCAUUAGUACGGUCUUUGAAAAUAAAAUCAGGCUCUGGAAUCCCCGUAAAAUCAAUCGAUUUACGAGCGAGAGUGGUGACUUACGAAACAUACGAACAGAAAUGUUAGGUGAGCGUGAGGAAAAACAGAAUAAAGUGAAAGCUGAUGUGCCUUGGUUCACAGCCGGAAACAGUGCUCUUGGUACCUUUCCGGAAAUGUAUUUGUUUCGAAGCUUCACAUGGCAUUGGUGAUACAACCAUUAUUUUUUCAAUGCGAAUAGAGAGAUUGACAAUUGGGAAAAAUAUAUGUUCUUAUUAUGUCAGACGGAGAAAGCAGAAAUUUAUUUUCAUUAAAUGAGCCUGCAUUGACAAGCUCGCAACUUAUUUUUUUUCUAUCGUUGAGAAAAAUCUCUGAGGAGAAGAUGGACAUUAGAAGCAGUUGAGUACUUUGCACUUUUCAUUUCCUCGACCGUGAAGGAACAUCGCGUGUUCGUGCAGCAGAAUACGGUUUAACGCAAGCAAUGCAUAGAAACCACAGAAAUGCUUUUUUCAGUGUGAGCAUACAGUGGACAAUCUUAAGUAAUUUUCUCAUCUUAUACUUAAUAAAACGCAACCUUUUCAGGCACUCAUCUUCAUUUCAAAUUCUCUUAAUUUCUCUACAUUCAUCUUUGAUCUCUCACAUAAUGAGAUAGUUAAGGAAAUGCAGUGCCUAAGAAGUUAAUCAGAAUGCAGACUUUCAUAUUUCUUUGGUCUGAAAGAUUCAGAUCAAAAACAAGGCUCAAUAUAGACAAAGUGGACUCAUGUUGAAUUGUAGAGUUUUACAAAGUGCAAGCAGAUACAGUGUAAGUUACAAUACCAAUAAGAAGUGAACAAAAUAAAAAAGUUUCUCUAUUGCAGUCAACAAUACUUUCCUUGAAGUCUCUUUCGCAGUGUUCUUUCUGAUUCUGAUAAGACUCCUAAUACUUUCUAUUACGCUGAGAAUAAUAUGAAAAGACAUAUAGAAGUUUGGCUAUAGUGAGUAAAAAAAUAGAAAUAUUAUGGCAUCGCUUGAAGAGUAAGUAGUUAUAGAUAUAUAUAUAAUAAUUGGAUAGAAAAUAAUCCACAUGGGAGAAAGAUUUUCAUAGAAAAAUGCACAUGGACCAGCAUCGGUUGCCUUUAAGAAUCACUAUUUACUUUUAUUCACCAAGUCAUUGUGCAGAUUUGUUUUUUCCAUUUAUAAGGACGCGAAUCGAGAAACGGACUUCUAUGACGCGCGCUCUUAUUUUCUCCGUUCAGUAGAGGGAUUAAUGAACUAUAAAAUCGAAUAAUUAAUCCUCUGCAAUAGUUUAGUUAAAUUAAUUUCACAAUAUUUACAAUUACGCUAACUAUUUGAACUUGUCAUUUCCUUAAUAAUAACUAUUAUUUCAUUAUAUUUUACUUAAUAGUCUAUCAUUGUCAUAAUCCUUUCUUUUUUGAAUUUUUCUUGGAAUGAAACUCCCAAGUAUCACUCGUAUACAAGAACUUAAAGAAAUCUUACAGCUUCAUUUGUCUCUCCACUUAUUUUCUAUAUUGAAUACUGAAUCACAAAGAAAAUUCUCUUCAAGGUAAGAAAUAAUUUAAAGAGAACUUAUAUAACACUGAGUAUUUAUGCGCUAUCAAAUAGAAUGAAACUUUAUGACGCAGUAUGUAUGUACAUGCACUCCAACAUCUUUUAUGUCAUAUUUAAUCAGAUAUAGAACAAAUUUGUCGCAUUAAAAAUAAUCACACACUUCGUAUAAAGAAUGUGAAUGCAGAGGUUUAAUAUCACAGUGAAAACGACCGUAAUACAAAUAAUUUUUGACGACAUGAAAGAAAGAAGAGAAAAUCCAAUAUAUUAAAGAUAUACCUAAGAAUGUUCAUGCACCCUCUGCUGACCGGUUUCAAUCAAAUAUAACAUUCGGAUAACGUGUCUUAAACUUUAUUUUAUAUAAUAACAAUAAUAAUAAUAAUAGUCGCUAAUAAUAAUUAAUUAAAAAUUAAUAUAUAUAUAUAUAUUAUAUUCUCUACGUGUAUCGUUAUAAUUGGUAGUCAAUCAUUUUCAUCAUUCCCGUAUAAUAAACUAAUUUUAAUGCGUCAAUAUGUAAAACUGAACGUCUUCUCCCGAUUGCAACAUAUUUUCUCUCAUUGUUAUUUGCAUAAAAACGUUUGUAGUCUGCAUUAGACAGAUAAUCCCUUGACAAUGAUGAUUUGCAAAUACACCAAAGUUCGCCUGUUCCUUCCUUUUUUCACAACGUGUCACAGAUUUUCUUUAAUCUGUGUAUGUAUAUUUAAUGUGCAGUGAUUUCUAGCCCGAAUCAAACAGGUGAAUCACGACAGAGAACCCUAACAUAGAAAUGGAUAAGAGAUAAGAACAAGACAACUUGAACUCCACAAUUGGAACAUUUGGAAGUUGAACCUUUUUUUCUAGAAGAACUCGAAUAUGCCCCAUGAACAAAAUAGAUCUUUCUGUUCUAUGUAUCAAUGAGACAGAUGAUCAUGUGAAAAUAAAACCAGCAUAAAAGAGGCAGAUUUAUGUACAGCGGUUAGAAUAAAACGUUCGAUAUAACCGUACAAUAUAUAUAUAUAUAUAUAUGUAUAUUUCUUAUAAAAGAGAUUUUAUUUAACAUUUUAAUGUAUCGCAGUUCGUGUAAAUUUUUGUAUAGUCAUCAAUGUAUUGAUAGCACACUGCGUUGCAUUAAAAUUCAAGCUUUCAGAUUCGAGUUUUUCAAG
Molecule: long non-coding RNA, 4726 nt
Organism: Bombus huntii
Lineage: Eukaryota; Metazoa; Arthropoda; Insecta; Hymenoptera; Apidae
Exons: 2
Source: RefSeq, a predicted model, not a curated record